AGAAUCAACGCUGGCGGCGUGCCUAACACAUGCAAGUCGAACGAGAAAGUGGAGCAAUCCAUGAGUAAAGUGGCGACCGGGUGAGUAACACGUGACUAACCUACCCUUUAGUGGGGAAUAACUCCGGGAAACCGGGGCUAAUACCGCAUAACAUCGCAAGAUCAAAGCAGCAAUGCGCUGGAGGAGGGGGUCGCGGCUGAUUAGCUAGUUGGCGGGGUAACGGCCCACCAAGGCGAAGAUCGGUAUCCGGCCUGAGAGGGCGCACGGACACACUGGAACUGAAACACGGUCCAGACUCCUACGGGAGGCAGCAGUGGGGAAUUUGCGCAAUGGGGGAAACCCUGACGCAGCAACGCCGCGUGGAGGAUGAAGCCCCUUGGGGCGUAAACUCCUUUCGACCAAGACGAUAAUGACGGUACUGGUGGAAGAAGCACCGGCUAACUCUGCGCCAGCAGCCGC
This 459-nucleotide ribosomal RNA is filed under the name uncultured bacterium. RNAcentral's name for it is "SSU rRNA". It matches the Rfam family "Bacterial small subunit ribosomal RNA", at positions 26 to 518 of the family's 1533-position model. The record is from RNAcentral.